UUGAUUUAAAAGGGGAUCGAUUCCAUGGUAAUUUGGUGUCUUCAGUGAAAUGAUUAUAGUCUUUUAUGAGGCUAUCAAGUAUUUGCAAUGAAGCAUGGUGAUUCGUUAUGCCUUCAUGUUCGCCAAGCCUUAAAAUUUUUGGUCUUCAAGUUGAAGUCUGCAAAUCCGCCAGCUUUAAGUUGAAUUAUUCAAGCCCUCCAAGUCCACCGACCUUCAAGUUGAAGUCCUUAAGUUCACCAGAAUUCAAGUUGAGUUGUUUAAGCCCUCGAAGUCUUCGAGUCGAAAUCCC
RNAcentral lists this long non-coding RNA (289 nucleotides) under Nicotiana benthamiana. Its description in RNAcentral is "long non-coding RNA (NBEN_LNC034143)". The record is from RNAcentral. Lineage: Eukaryota; Viridiplantae; Streptophyta; Magnoliopsida; Solanales; Solanaceae.